GACAGAGGUGCCGAGCGUUAGGCGGAAUCACUGGGCUUAAAGCGUGUGUAGGCGGGCGGGCAAGUACCUUGUGAAAUCCCACGGCUCAACCGUGGAACGGCUGGGUAUACUGCCUGUCUUGAGCCAACUAGGGGCGAGCGGAACAGACGGUGGAGCGGUGAAAUGCGUAGAUAUCGUCUGGAACGCCAAAGGUGAAAACAGCUCGCUGGGGUUGUGCUGACGCUGGAGACACGAAAGCCAGGGGAGCGAACGGG
This 254-nucleotide ribosomal RNA is filed under the name uncultured bacterium. RNAcentral's name for it is "partial 16S ribosomal RNA". It matches the Rfam family "Bacterial small subunit ribosomal RNA", at positions 524 to 776 of the family's 1533-position model. The record is from RNAcentral.